UGGGGAAUAUUGGACAAUGGGCGCAAGCCUGAUCCAGCCACGCCGCGUGAGUGAUGAAGGCCUUCGGGUCGUAAAGCUCUGUGGGGAGGGACGAACCGCCGCUGGUGAAUAUCCAGCGGCAUGACGGUACCUCCUUAGCAAGCACCGGCUAACUUCGUGCCAGCAGCCGCGGUAAUACGAAGGGUGCAAACGUUGCUCGGAAUUAUUGGGCGUAAAGCGCACGUAGGCGGCUUGGCAAGUCGGAUGUGAAAUCCCUCGGCUCAACCAAGGAAGUGCAUCCGAAACUGCUGAGCUUGAGUACUUAAGAGGAUCGCGGAAUUCCCGGUGUAGAGGUGAAAUUCGUAGAUAUCGGGAGGAACACCAGUGGCGAAGGCGGCGAUCUGGGAAGAUACUGACGCUGAGGUGCGAAAGCGUGGGGAGCAAACAG
This 427-nucleotide ribosomal RNA is filed under the name uncultured bacterium. Its description in RNAcentral is "bacterial SSU rRNA". It matches the Rfam family "Bacterial small subunit ribosomal RNA", at positions 355 to 775 of the family's 1533-position model. The record is from RNAcentral.